RNAcentral lists this ribosomal RNA (1343 nucleotides) under uncultured bacterium. RNAcentral describes it as "16S ribosomal RNA". It matches the Rfam family "Bacterial small subunit ribosomal RNA", at positions 28 to 1378 of the family's 1533-position model. The record is from RNAcentral.
GACGAACGCUGGCGGCGUGCUUAACACAUGCAAGUCGAACGGAAAGGCCCUGCUUUUGUGGGGUGCUCGAGUGGCGAACGGGUGAGUAACACGUGAGUAACCUGCCCUUGACUUUGGGAUAACUUCAGGAAACUGGGGCUAAUACCGGAUAGGAGCUCCUGCUGCAUGGUGGGGGUUGGAAAGUUUCGGCGGUUGGGGAUGGACUCGCGGCUUAUCAGCUUGUUGGUGGGGUAGUGGCUUACCAAGGCUUUGACGGGUAGCCGGCCUGAGAGGGUGACCGGCCACAUUGGGACUGAGAUACGGCCCAGACUCCUACGGGAGGCAGCAGUGGGGAAUAUUGCACAAUGGGCGGAAGCCUGAUGCAGCAACGCCGCGUGCGGGAUGACGGCCUUCGGGUUGUAAACCGCUUUCGCCUGUGACGAAGCGUGAGUGACGGUAAUGGGUAAAGAAGCACCGGCUAACUACGUGCCAGCAGCCGCGGUGAUACGUAGGCCGCGAGCGUUGUCCGGAUUUAUUGGGCGUAAAGGGCUCGUAGGUGGUUGAUCGCGUCGGAAGUGUAAUCUUGGGGCUUAACCCUGAGCGUGCUUUCGAUACGGGUUGACUUGAGGAAGGUAGGGGAGAGUGGAAUUCCUGGUGGAGCGGUGGAAUGCGCAGAUAUCAGGAGGAACACCAGUGGCGAAGGCGGUUCUCUGGGCCUUUCCUGACGCUGAGGAGCGAAAGCGUGGGGAGCGAACAGGCUUAGAUACCCUGGUAGUCCACGCUGUAAACGGUGGGUACUAGGUGUGGGGUCCAUUCCACGGGUUCCGUGCCGUAGCUAACGCUUUAAGUACCCCGCCUGGGGAGUACGGCCGCAAGGCUAAAACUCAAAGGAAUUGACGGGGCCCCGCACAAGCGGCGGAGCAUGCGGAUUAAUUCGAUGCAACGCGUAGAACCUUACCUGGGUUUGACAUGGAUCGGGAGUGCUCAGAGAUGGGUGUGCCUCUUUUGGGGUCGGUUCACAGGUGGUGCAUGGCUGUCGUCAGCUCGUGUCGUGAGAUGUUGGGUUAAGUCCCGCAACGAGCGCAACCCUUGUUCACUGUUGCCAGCACGUUAUGGUGGGGACUCAGUGGAGACCGCCGGGGUCAACUCGGAGGAAGGUGGGGAUGACGUCAAGUCAUCAUGCCCCUUAUGUCCAGGGCUUCACGCAUGCUACAAUGGCUGGUACAGAGAGUGGCGAGCCUGUGAGGGUGAGCGAAUCUCGGAAAGCCGGUCUCAGUUCGGAUUGGGGUCUGCAACUCGACCUCAUGAAGUCGGAGUCGCUAGUAAUCGCAGAUCAGCAACGCUGCGGUGAAUACGUUCCCGGG